RNAcentral lists this ribosomal RNA (245 nucleotides) under uncultured Prevotella sp. RNAcentral describes it as "partial 16S ribosomal RNA". It matches the Rfam family "Bacterial small subunit ribosomal RNA", at positions 524 to 768 of the family's 1533-position model. The record is from RNAcentral. Lineage: Bacteria; Pseudomonadati; Bacteroidota; Bacteroidia; Bacteroidales; Prevotellaceae.
UACGGAAGGUCCGGGCGUUAUCCGGAUUUAUUGGGUUUAAAGGGAGCGCAGGCCGGCGAUUAAGCGUGACGUGAAAUGCCGCGGCUCAACCGUGGAAGUGCGUCGCGAACUGGUUGUCUUGAGUGCGUACGACGUGUGCGGAAUUCGUGGUGUAGCGGUGAAAUGCUUAGAUAUCACGAAGAACCCCGAUUGCGAAGGCAGCGCACGAGUCCGCAACUGACGCUAAAGCUCGAAGGUGCGGGUAU